Molecule: ribosomal RNA, 332 nt
Filed under: uncultured bacterium
Lineage: Bacteria
Description: bacterial SSU rRNA
Rfam family: Bacterial small subunit ribosomal RNA
Source: RNAcentral
AGUGUAGGCGGGAUCGUAAGUUAGGAGUUUAAUACAUGGGCUUAACCCAUGAGCUGCUUUUAAUACUGCGGUUCUUGAGUAUGGGAGAGGGCGAUGGAAUUCCAGGUGUAGCGGUGGAAUGCGUAGAUAUCUGGAAGAACACCAGUAGCGAAGGCGGUCGCCUGGCCCAAUACUGACGCUGAUGCUCGAAAGCUAGGGGAGCAAACAGGAUUAGAUACCCUGGUAGUCCUAGCCGUAAACGAUGGACACUAGUUGCUGGAGGAGUCAAUCCUUUCGGUGACGAAGCUAACGCAUUAAAUGUCCCGCCCGGGGAGUACGUUCGCAAGGAUGAA